GAUGAAGAACGUAGCGAAAUGCGAUAAGUAAUGUGAAUUGCAGAAUUCAGUGAAUCAUCGAAUCUUUGAACGCACAUUGCGCCCGCCAGUAUUCUGGCGGGCAUGCCUGUUCGAGCGUCAUUUCAACCCUCAAGACCCCUUCGGGGGACUUGGUGUUGGGGACCGGCACAGGGGCCUGCCUGCUUGUCUUGCAGCGCCCUCGCCGCCCCCGAAAUGAAUUGGCGGCCUCGUCGCGGCCUCCCCUGCGUAGUAGCACAAACCUCGCAACGGGAACGUGACGGCGGCAACUGCCGUAAAACAACCCAAUUUUAUUAGAGUUGACCUCGAAUCAGGUAGGAAUACCCGCUGAACUUAAGCAUAUCAAUAAGCGGAGGA
RNAcentral lists this unclassified non-coding RNA (375 nucleotides) under soil metagenome. Its description in RNAcentral is "partial contains 5.8S ribosomal RNA, internal transcribed spacer 2, and large subunit ribosomal RNA". The stretch from base 1 to 120 matches the Rfam family "5.8S ribosomal RNA", at positions 35 to 154 of the family's 154-position model. The record is from RNAcentral.